RNAcentral lists this ribosomal RNA (960 nucleotides) under bacterium SCS_04Z1_26_2. Its description in RNAcentral is "bacterial SSU rRNA". It matches the Rfam family "Bacterial small subunit ribosomal RNA", at positions 38 to 990 of the family's 1533-position model. The record is from RNAcentral.
GGGGGCUCAGCAUUCCGCCAUGCAGUCGAGGGGCAGCAUUUCCAGCUUGCUGGAAGAUGGCGACCGGCGCACGGGUGCGCAACGCGUAUAGAAUCUGCCUUGCACCGGGGAAUAGCCCGGAGAAAUUUGGAUUAACGCCCCAUGGUAUGUACUUGUGGCAUCACCUGUACAUUAAAGGUCACGGUGCAGGAUGACUAUGCGUCCCAUUAGCUUGUUGGCAGGGUAACGGCCUACCAAGGCUUCGAUGGGUAGGGGCCCUGAGAGGGGGAUCCCCCACACUGGUACUGAGACACGGACCAGACUCCUACGGGAGGCAGCAGUGAGGAAUAUUGGACAAUGGGCGGGAGCCUGAUCCAGCCAUGCCGCGUGCAGGAAGACGGUCCUAUGGAUUGUAAACUGCUUUUGUACGGGAAGAACAAGGGGCACGCGUGCCCUUCUGACGGUACCGUAAGAAUAAGGAUCGGCUAACUCCGUGCCAGCAGCCGCGGUAAUACGGAGGAUCCGAGCGUUAUCCGGAAUCAUUGGGUUUAAAGGGUCCGUAGGCGGGCCGCUAAGUCAGGGGUGAAAGUCUGCGGCUCAACCGUAGAAUUGCCCUUGAUACUGGUGGCCUUGAGUUAUGGUGAAGCAGCCAGAAUAUGUAGUGUAGCGGUGAAAUGCAUAGAUAUUACAUAGAAUACCGAUUGCGAAGGCAGGCUGCUAACCGUAUACUGACGCUGAUGGACGAAAGCGUGGGUAGCGAACAGGAUUAGAUACCCUGGUAGUCCACGCCGUAAACGAUGGAUACUAGCUGUCCGGGGCGCAGGCCUUGGGCGGCCAAGCGAAAGUGAUAGUAUCCCGACCUGGGGAGUACGUCCGCAAGGAUGAUACUCAAGGAAUUUGACGGGGGCCCCGCCACAAGCGGUGAGCAUGGUGGUUUAAGUUCGAUGAUACGGCGAGACCCUUACCAGGGCUUAAUGGUGU